RNAcentral lists this ribosomal RNA (253 nucleotides) under uncultured bacterium. RNAcentral describes it as "partial 16S ribosomal RNA". It matches the Rfam family "Bacterial small subunit ribosomal RNA", at positions 524 to 776 of the family's 1533-position model. The record is from RNAcentral.
GACGAACCGUGCAAACGUUAUUCGGAAUCACUGGGCUUAAAGGGCGCGUAGGCGGGCGGGCAAGUCUAGGGUGAAAGCCCCCAGCUUAACUGGGGAAGUGCCUUGGAUACUGCUCGUCUGGAGGGAGGUAGGGGCGUGCGGAACUUCCGGUGGAGCGGUGAAAUGCGUAGAUAUCGGAAGGAACACCGAUGGCGAAAGCAGCGCGCUGGACCUCUUCUGACGCUGAGGCGCGAAAGCCAGGGGAGCAAACGGG